AUACCCCAUAGGCCGAGAGGUUAAAGGCAGCGAUGCGCGGCAGGAGGAGCUCGUGUCCUAUCAGCUGGUUGGUGAGGUAACGGCUCACCAAGGCUUCGACGGGUAGCCGGCCUGAGAGGGUGACCGGCCACACUGGAACUGAGAAACGGUCCAGACUCCUACGGGAGGCAGCAGUGGGGAAUAUUGGGCAAUGGGAGGAAUCCUGACCCAGCGACGCCGCGUGAACGAAGACGGCCUUCGGGUUGUAAAGUUCUUUUAUGUGGGAAGAAGGAAGUGACGGUACCACAUGAAUAAGCCCCGGCUAACUACGUGCCAGCAGUCGCGGUAAUACGUAGGGGGCGAGCGUUGUCCGGAAUUACUGGGCGUAAAGGGCACGCAGGCUGUGAUUCAAGUCAGCUGUAAAAGGAUGCGGCUUAACUGUGUUUAGCAGUUGAAACUGGAUGACUGGAGUGCUGGAGAGGCAAGUGGAAUUCCCAGUGUAGCGGUGAAAUGCGUAGAUAUUGGGAAGAACAUCGGUGGCGAAGGCGACUUGCUGGCCAGUAACUGACGCUGAGGUGCGAAAGCCAGGGUAGCAAACGGGAUUAGAUACCCCGGUAGUCCUGGCUGUAAACGAUGAAUGCUAGGUGUGCGAGCAGAGAUGUUGGUGUGC
This 649-nucleotide ribosomal RNA is filed under the name uncultured Fretibacterium sp. RNAcentral describes it as "bacterial SSU rRNA". It matches the Rfam family "Bacterial small subunit ribosomal RNA", at positions 166 to 846 of the family's 1533-position model. The record is from RNAcentral. Lineage: Bacteria; Thermotogati; Synergistota; Synergistia; Synergistales; Aminobacteriaceae.